UAUCUCUUUAUUAUUUUGGAAGCCCACUCCUCUCCUCAUGACAUAAUUUAAUAUUUUUUUAUCACAUAUCAUUGUACCUUAUAAGAAGGCAGAUCAGUAUGUUAUCAUCUUUCAAUACAGUCAGCUUUUUGUAUACCACUUUUUGUGAAUAUACAAUAUGAUUAACAUCUAUUUAUUUUUCCAUGCUUUUUUUUUUUUUUGUUACCAUAUGCUUAAUUUUUUUUCUCUUUACUCAAUUUGUCAACAGUUUUGUAAUUUAUCUAAUAACACAGGUAGAAGCUUGAACUAUCUCCUCAUCAGACUCUCAUUUCAUCUCUGAUAGAGUCCCGUGAGUCAGGGUCUAGCCAACAGUCUUUCGAAAUGUUGCUUGAGCUAGCACUGUUCCAACAGUGUUACUUGACUCAAUGAUCUCACAGUACUUUUACAGUGACCUCAUUAUCCUAAUUCUUCCCCUUAUGUCUUACAACAUGGCUGAGCGUUUUCUUAAUGCUUGACCGAAAAAUUUCUUCUGCCUUCACUCCUAACAUUUACUUUUAUUUCCAGCCAACUUAUCAACUCAGUCUAUUUAUGGUUUAUUUAGGCUUGGACAUCACACAUAUGCUUCCACGUUUAUCCUGGGUUUCAGAAUAACCCUUGUUAAACAAUAUAAUUCAUAUAUUUCUUGCAUUACAUUUAUUACUAAAUAUUGCCAUUAUUGAUUUUCUAAAUAACAAGCUGCAGUAAUUUUCAUAUACAAUCAAUUUUUCCAAAUCAAGUACUCACAUCAGCUUUGAUGACAACUCUUUUCUACCGUUUUUUUACUCAUGAUGAUACAACCUUGUAUCACCCUUCAGAAAAUUUUAACAUUUUUUUGAGUCAUUCGCUUCUAUAUUAAAGCUACUACCCACAAAUUGUUCAUUUUUCGGCUCAUAUAUUUCCUCAAUUAAAUUUAUUGUCUUCCCACACUUGCUUCUCUCUGUAAAAAUUUUCUUCUCAUGUAUACUGACAAUUUAUGCUUAAUAAAUCCUCUCCUUUACGUCUCUGAACAACUAAAUUUUUCGGUAUCAAAAAGAAUCUGCCAUUUGUAGGAUUAGGUAUUUUAUAAUGAAAUCUUAUCCUUACCAUUUUUUCUUAUACAACUCUCUAGCUCCUGUGUUCCCACUAUGCAUCAUUAUGUGACUAUGAGUAACUACUAAUAUCACUACCAUCUAGAAGUCAACAAUAUUCCUAUUUUUAUACCAAUUAUGAUGAUAACACCUAUGACAUGCUGCACAUUUUUAUUGUCUUGAUAUGUGUCUCCCUGUGUGUUUCUACUUCCCCCAUUUGUUUGUAUGCUGCUGGUGAAACAAGUAACUGAUGACCAUUACAAGAGGCCAUAAUUUCCUUAUUACACAAACAAUAUAACUCACCGAACAUAUUUCAAGAUCGGAGCAAAACGGUUUAAGCAGUCAAGUAAGUUAAUCAUGAAAUGUAUGAGAGUGAGAGCUUGUAUGAUGAUAACUUGUGCGCAACACAGAACCAGAAUGAAUAGCUUAACUAAUUUUAUCAUAAAUUUUUCUGUUGUGGCCAAAAUUUGUCACUAAUUAUUUCAGUAAAGCACCAGAUUUCACAGGCGACUCAACAACAAUUAACUGCAACAUCCAUUUCAACAAAUCAUUACAAAUCUCAUGUCAUAUUUGUCACAUCCUAUUCUUACAAUAUCCUAAAUUUUGCAAUAUCAGUCUGAUAAUAUCUUUGCAAUAUUAAUCUAUGCAAUAUUAUCUUUGCAACACUUUCCUUUGCAAUAUAAAUCCCACCUCUGCCACCAGUGUUGUGCUUCUGUGUUGCAUGAUCUUGCUGUGUCUUUAAUCACAACUAAUAUUCAAUGAGGAAACACAUCCUACAUCUAUCCAGUCCCUUUCUGUCAAUAUAUAACAUGAACAUUUUACUCUGACUGCAAUACAAAUGUCAGGCUCUACUUACUGGUACUGUGACAGGCGGCUUGCCCAUCUUGACCUCUCUGGUCUGACAACUCUGUCUAGCUUGUCUCUCUGUCUGCUUCUAUCUAUUCCCAUCUCCUGCACCUCAUAAUAUACAUGUGAUGUUAGAAGAACAUUUUGCCCCCACAAGGUUUCCAUUGCUAUAAGAUUUAUUUUCCAAUACUUUGAUCAUAUGGUUUAUUUUCUUAUAACUUUCAAUAAGGUUAAUUUUCAAGUAACUGUUUAUUUUCCCAUACUUCGACCAUACAGUUGAUUUUCCUAUACUUUCCAAAAGAUCCAGUUUCAAGUAACUAAAUUUAUCUUCCUGUACUUCAAUCAUACAGUUUAUUUUCCCUUAAGGUUCAUUCUCAAGUAAUUUUGGUAAUCACGUAUUCUAAGGAGGCAGCAUUUCCUAUGGCGUGCCAACUCUCCAUGUUGUCCACGUCAUUUGCUUUCAGUGACUUCUGCUUCCCUUGUAUACUAAUGCUAUGGGAGAGUCACCCUCAUUACUGACAGUGGAUGAGGACCUGACUUUCCAAAUCAUCCAUCAUACAGAUGAUGUCCCUCAAUGGCAGAACUUGAGCAAUUUAUAGUAAAUCUGAAGUUGUGAGACCUGUGUGGGCUAGUGCAGACACAACAGGAGGUGGUGGUAGGCACAACAGGAGCUGGUGGCAGGCACAACAAGAGAUGGUGGCAGGCACAAUGAGAGGUGGUGGCAGGCACAAUAGGAGGUGUUAGAGUCUCAUCAGCAAUCUGCCCACAUACAAAGAGAAUUUUUAGAUUUAUUCAAGCAGUUUAUGGCUCAUGCCACUGAGUGCUUUAAGGCCAACACUAAACAUUAACACACUUCCGAAAA
Molecule: long non-coding RNA, 2793 nt
Organism: Scylla paramamosain (green mud crab)
Lineage: Eukaryota; Metazoa; Arthropoda; Malacostraca; Decapoda; Portunidae
Exons: 2
Source: RefSeq, a predicted model, not a curated record